Molecule: ribosomal RNA, 498 nt
Filed under: uncultured bacterium
Lineage: Bacteria
Description: partial 16S ribosomal RNA
Rfam family: Bacterial small subunit ribosomal RNA
Source: RNAcentral
AUUGAACGCUGGCGGCAUGCCUUACACAUGCAAGUCGAACGGCAGCGGACCUUCGGGUGCCGGCGAGUGGCGAACGGGUGAGUAAAGUAUCGGAACGUACCUUUCAGUGGGGGAUAACGUAGCGAAAGUUACGCUAAUACCGCAUAUUCUGUGAGCAGGAAAGCAGGGGAUCGCAAGACCUUGCGCUGAUUGAGCGGCCGAUAUCAGAUUAGCUAGUUGGUGAGGUAAAGGCUCACCAAGGCGACGAUCUGUAGCGGGUCUGAGAGGAGGAUCCGGCACACUGGAACUGAGACACGGUCCAGACUCCUACGGGAGGUAGCAGUGGGGAAUUUUGGACAAUGGGCGCAAGCCUGAUCCAGCCAUGCCGCGUGAGUGAAGAAGGCCUUCGGGUUGUAAAGCUCUUUCGGCCGGGAAGAAAUCGUAUGGGUUAAUACCCUGUGCGGAUGACGGUACCGGCAUAAGAAGCACCGGCUAACUACGUGCCAGCCGCCGCGGUAA